UAGAAAAUUAACGGUUUUAGAAGGGGGAAAACUUUUUGGCAACGGGAUGGGUUGCGGGGAAAGCAUGCUGAAGUACUGAUUCCCGUUCUGUUCAGCCUAGGGAUCGCAAGAUGUCCCACGGAAGGUGACAUCUUGUCGAAGUCAUGUGCUACAGCAGGCAAAUCAGGAGGAGCAGCGAGCCAAGUUUCAUCCCAGCUUCCAAAGAAACUGAUCCCGACAGCUCAUCCCUCGCUGGCCCUGGCCCAGGAGGGUGCAGGAGGAGCUCAGAGGGAUGAGAGAUCACUCCUGUUUCAGAGAAGCCUUCGUGGAAGAGAUGGCCCUUAUUCUGGACCUGAGAUGAGACUGGGGAAACUUGAGAGCACUUGCCUCGCCUCCAAAAGAGCAAACGGUUCCUCCGUUGUUUCGGUUUUUUUUUUUUUCAAAAUAAGCUGGUUUUCUGGAUUUUAAUGUAACAUCUCCUAUUUUUUAAAAGGAUGGCAACAUUAAAACUUUUGAAAAACACAUUGCAGGGCAAAUAAAAUCAUCCAGUAUCUAAUUGGUGUUCAAAUUUGCUGAUGGUCUCAUUUUUUUACAUGUUUCAAUAAAAUUCCAAACACAUUGC
Molecule: long non-coding RNA, 601 nt
Filed under: Dasypus novemcinctus (nine-banded armadillo)
Lineage: Eukaryota; Metazoa; Chordata; Mammalia; Cingulata; Dasypodidae
Description: lncRNA (ENSDNOG00000052242.1)
Source: RNAcentral